This 74-nucleotide transfer RNA is filed under the name Staphylococcus aureus. Its description in RNAcentral is "tRNA-Lys". It matches the Rfam family "tRNA". Rfam says of the family: Transfer RNA (tRNA) molecules are approximately 80 nucleotides in length. Their secondary structure includes four short double-helical elements and three loops (D, anti-codon, and T loops). RNAcentral also lists the same sequence under 1 other name. Lineage: Bacteria; Bacillati; Bacillota; Bacilli; Caryophanales; Staphylococcaceae. The record is from RNAcentral.
GAGCCAUUAGCUCAGUUGGGAGAGCAUCUGACUUUUAAUCAGAGGGUCAGAGGUUCGAAUCCUCUAUGGCUCAC